CUGAGAGAGGCAGGGGGUUGAGAAAUGGCACCGAUUUGGCGGCUGGCCAUACCUCCUCCGUCAUGUGUCAGCCUUCUACUACUACUUGGUUUAUUCCUUUGGAGGCUUUGGCUGCUCUUCUCUGGAAGACAGAGCAGGGAACAGGAGGCAGCCAAGAGAGCCUCAGAGACUUCAAAGAAGCAUAAAUUCAAAAAGAUGCAGAAACUCACAGCUUCCCAGUGGGAAGAAAAUCUUAGGAUGAGCUGCUCCGAAGCUAAUGGGACACAAUUUUCAGGUCUCCCUAUGGGAUGGGCCCA
Molecule: long non-coding RNA, 296 nt
Organism: Mustela lutreola (European mink)
Lineage: Eukaryota; Metazoa; Chordata; Mammalia; Carnivora; Mustelidae
Exons: 4
Source: RefSeq, a predicted model, not a curated record